UUAAUACAAGCUGGAAAAUCCUA
Molecule: non-coding RNA, 23 nt
Filed under: Arabidopsis thaliana (thale cress)
Lineage: Eukaryota; Viridiplantae; Streptophyta; Magnoliopsida; Brassicales; Brassicaceae
Source: RNAcentral